UACGAAGGGGGCGAGUGUUGUUCGGAAUCACUGGGCGUAAAGGGCGCGUAGGCGGCCCUCUUAGUCGCGUGUGAAAGCCCCGGGCUCAACCUGGGAACGGCGCGCGAAACGGGAGGGCUGGAGUUCGGGAGAGGAGAGUGGAAUUCCCAGUGUAGAGGUGAAAUUCGUAGAUAUUGGGAAGAACACCGGUGGCGAAGGCGGCGCUCUGGACCGAGACUGACGCUGAGGCGCGAAAGCGUGGGGAGCAAACAGG
Molecule: ribosomal RNA, 253 nt
Filed under: uncultured bacterium
Lineage: Bacteria
Description: partial 16S ribosomal RNA
Rfam family: Bacterial small subunit ribosomal RNA
Source: RNAcentral